AGGAGAGGAUCCUUCCUUUCUUCCAGCUUCUGAUAGUGCCAUGUAUUACAGAUUUUUCUGGAUGUGCUACUGCGUAGGUUAACUUUGUGCUGAAAGCUUUCAAUUCAUCUUUCUAUGAAAGUACUGGCACAGAGGCAGAGACACAGGCAGAGGGAGAAGCAGGCUCCAUGCAG
Long non-coding RNA from Canis lupus familiaris (dog), 173 nucleotides. RefSeq lists it as uncharacterized. NCBI's taxonomy places the organism in Eukaryota, Metazoa, Chordata, Mammalia, Carnivora, Canidae. The transcript has 4 exons. The record is from RefSeq and is a predicted model, not a curated record.